AACGAACGCUGGCGGCAUGCCUAACACAUGCAAGUCGAACGAGACCUUCGGGUCUAGUGGCGCACGGGUGCGUAACGCGUGGGAACCUGCCCUUAGGUUCGGAAUAACUCCCCGAAAGGGGUGCUAAUACCGGAUAAUGUCUUCGGACCAAAGAUUUAUCGCCUUUGGAUGGGCCCGCGUCGGAUUAGCUAGUUGGUAGGGUAAAAGCCUACCAAGGCGACGAUCCAUAGCUGGUCUGAGAGGAUGAUCAGCCACACUGGGACUGAGACACGGCCCAGACUCCUACGGGAGGCAGCAGUGGGGAAUAUUGGACAAUGGGCGAAAGCCUGAUCCAGCAGUGCCGCGUGAGUGAUGAAGGCCUUAGGGUUGUAAAGCUCUUUUACCCGGGAUGAUAAUGACAGUACCGGGAGAAUAAGCUCCGGCUAACUCCGUG
Molecule: ribosomal RNA, 433 nt
Filed under: uncultured bacterium
Lineage: Bacteria
Description: partial 16S ribosomal RNA
Rfam family: Bacterial small subunit ribosomal RNA
Source: RNAcentral